UCCUAGUAACGUUAGCCUACAUGUGGAACGAAAGUGAUCGUGCAUGAGAAAUCAAAACAAAAGAAAAUCUGUUGCAUUUUAUACAUUUACGUUUUCAAAGGACACGAUUUUAGCAGUGUUAUAAAUAUACGUGUGCUGCGCUCAGCCUUCGAUAUAUCAGUUACUUUUUAAUUGUUUUCGUGUAUCCUGUACAUUACAUUUCAUCCUCCCUCCCUUUGAAGCAGAAAUGUCCCAGGAGAGUCUACAUGGCAGGUGGUCCAUAUCUGAUAGUGAGGAUGAGGACAACAUAAUACCACCAACCCCCCAAAAGACUUCAAUCACACCAAGCAUUAAACCAGAUAUAGGAAGCAAACCAAACAACAUCACCACCUUUCUGAAACAAGAGCCGAAGCAGAGUCCAAAUAAGAAAGCUGAGGAAGGAACCCUUAAUGUAAAAGAAGCGUCUGCUCCCUCCAUUGGAUCUGAAGCUAGAAAAGCAGCACAUGUGAACCAAACAAAGCCUGCGAAGUUUGAAAGCAAGGUAUCGCCUUCUGUAAAGCGAAAAAGAGAAACAGACGAGGGGGGUUGGAACCUCUCUGACAGUGACGAUGAAGCUUCACCACCACCUGUUGCAAAAGAUGAAGCCAAGAAAUUGAAUGUAAGUCCUAAAAGGAAGAAAACCGAAGACACACGUCCUCCGAGCCCUCACGGCACCGGUUAUUAUAAAGAAGAACCUGCUGAUUUCUUUGAAACCAACUUAUUAUCUAUGAAUGACAUGUACCGCUUUUAUUUAAAUAAAGUCAGUGGGAUACAGAAGAAGUUCAACACUGGAGCACUGCAUAUAAAAGAGAUACUUUCUCCUAUGUUCGGGACGCUAAAAGAGUCUGUGCAGUUCAAUUACUGCUUUGACAUUCCAUGGAUGGUGGAGCAGUAUCCUCUAGAAUUUAGGGACAAACCCGUCAUAAUCGUUCAUGGAGACAAAAGAGAGGCCAAGGCUCGAUUACUUGAGCAAGCAAAACCGUAUCCACACAUUCGUUUCUGCCAGGCCAAACUGGACAUUGCAUUUGGCACACAUCACACGAAAAUGAUGCUGCUGUGGUACGAGGAAGGAUUCAGAGUCAUCAUUCUUACCUCCAACCUCAUUCGAGCCGAUUGGUACCAGAAGACUCAGGGGAUGUGGAUGAGUCCGCUGUACCCCAGGUUACCGGAGGGAAGUCCGGGAACAGCAGGGGAGUCUCCCACCAACUUUAAAAGAGACAUGCUGGAAUACCUGGAAGCAUACCGGGCUCCAGAGCUCGCAGACUGGAUCGAGCGCAUCAAACAGCAUGAUCUCUCAGAAACAAGGGUGUAUCUCAUUGGUUCAACUCCAGGAAGAUAUCAAGGACCUGCCAUGGAAAAGUGGGGCCAUUUAAGAUUGCGAAAGCUGCUCAGCGAACACACACGUCCCAUUCCGAAUGAAGAACGGUGGGCUGUGAUUGGUCAGUUUUCCAGUAUCGGCUCUAUGGGACUUGAUAAGACUAAAUGGCUGGCAGCUGAGUUCCAGCAUACCCUGACCACGCUGGGGAGAGCAGAGAAAUCAUUACCCAGCUCACAACCACAGAUGCUCCUGAUUUAUCCAUCUGUGGAAAAUGUGAGAACCAGUUUAGAGGGUUAUCCAGCUGGGGGAUCUUUACCGUACAGUAUACAGACCGCACAAAAACAACUCUGGCUUCACUCAUACUUCCACGGUUGGCAUGCUGAUGUCACCGGUAGGAGCAACGCGAUGCCCCACAUUAAAACAUACAUGAGGGUAUCACCAGACUUCACACAACUGGCCUGGUUCCUUGUUACAAGUGCCAAUUUGUCCAAAGCUGCCUGGGGCGCGCUGGAGAAGAACAACACCCAGAUGAUGGUGCGUUCCUAUGAGCUGGGAGUUCUCUACCUGCCUUCAGCCUUUAACAUGAGCACAUUUCCUGUGGAGAAGAAUGUGUUUCGUGGCUCUGCCUCUUCCAAGGGUUUCCCUGUGCCCUUUGACCUCCCACCCCAGCGCUACUCCAGCAAAGAUCAGCCUUGGAUCUGGAACAUUCCAUAUACUCAGGCUCCAGAUACUCAUGGAAAUGUAUGGGUGCCUUCUUGAGAAGAUCAGACCCUUGAGGUCAUUUGCAUUAAAUCAAAUUAACAUGGAAGUCAGACCAUAUGAGUCUUUAAGCCACUUUAAUGAACCCAUGACGGCAAUGGUAGAAACAUCAGGGGUGAUCUCUUUCAAGGGACGUCUUCGCUGCAACAGUUUAGGGCUUCAGGAAUGCAAGUCACGCCAUAACUGGAGGAAUAAUCCCAGCACAGCUCAAUUAUGGGAUGGACAUGAUCUGGAAGAGAGCACACAGUCUUUUUACUUACUUUUUACUCUUCUCAAGGUAUGAACUGAUCUUGGCUACGUGAAUUUAUCUGUGUGAUUAUGUGAAACUGUGGCCAGCACUUGCAUGCAUAUUUGGUCAUUAAUAUCCAGGGAAAAACUUGAUAUUGUUUAAUACUGCAAGUGUUGACUACCCUUGAGCUGUAUUGCAAUGAUUGGAACUUACCUGUCUGAGACGCUGCAUCCACUUUUCGCACAAGUUUGCGCCUAGAGGUGCCGUCAGAGGGGGACAUGUACUCCUGCUUGAUGGCAGGAGGUUGGGUGCAUUUGUUGGUUACCUGUAAAAUCAAAAUAAGCAAGUGACGGAACAUAAAAAUAAAAAAGGUUUCAGCACCGAACGUCUCUCCUCCUGAAUGCUCUCUCGGAAGGUGCACUCGUGGCCGGGAUACAGAGGACAUAUCUUGCAAGGUUGCUCAGAGCAGGGAACUGGGAACGAUGUGAAUUCCACCAUUGCAAAACUUUUUGUUGACUUGAUAGUUCAAGUUGCAUGGUCCUGUACUCCUGAAUCUGCACAUCGAGGGAUUUUGAUCCACAUGAUUCUUCAUCAUCCUCCCAAUCUGAAAAUUUACGGAGAACAGUAGGCCUUUUGGCCGGUGUUGGCUCAACAUCCUCAUCAUGCGUAUCAAACUUUAAAUCUUCGAUCAUCUCCUUGACUCCCUGUAUCACCUUCUGUCGCCCUCUUUCAUCCAACAUUUUCAAACCUCGCAGAUUUGGUGUCA
Molecule: RNA transcript, 3090 nt
Organism: Triplophysa rosa
Lineage: Eukaryota; Metazoa; Chordata; Actinopteri; Cypriniformes; Nemacheilidae
Gene: tdp1
Gene name: tyrosyl-DNA phosphodiesterase 1
Exons: 17
Source: RefSeq, a predicted model, not a curated record